RNAcentral lists this ribosomal RNA (819 nucleotides) under Rhodococcus sp. RKEM 843. Its description in RNAcentral is "bacterial SSU rRNA". It matches the Rfam family "Bacterial small subunit ribosomal RNA", at positions 38 to 873 of the family's 1533-position model. Lineage: Bacteria; Bacillati; Actinomycetota; Actinomycetes; Mycobacteriales; Nocardiaceae. The record is from RNAcentral.
GGCGGCGUGCUUAACACAUGCAAGUCGAGCGGUAAGGCCUUUCGGGGUACACGAGCGGCGAACGGGUGAGUAACACGUGGGUGAUCUGCCCUGCACUCUGGGAUAAGCUUGGGAAACUGGGUCUAAUACCGGAUAUGACCACAGCAUGCAUGUGUUGUGGUGGAAAGAUUUAUCGGUGCAGGAUGGGCCCGCGGCCUAUCAGCUUGUUGGUGGGGUAAUGGCCUACCAAGGCGACGACGGGUAGCCGACCUGAGAGGGUGACCGGCCACACUGGGACUGAGACACGGCCCAGACUCCUACGGGAGGCAGCAGUGGGGAAUAUUGCACAAUGGGCGGAAGCCUGAUGCAGCGACGCCGCGUGAGGGAUGAAGGCCUUCGGGUUGUAAACCUCUUUCAGCAGGGACGAAGCGUGAGUGACGGUACCUGCAGAAGAAGCACCGGCUAACUACGUGCCAGCAGCCGCGGUAAUACGUAGGGUGCGAGCGUUGUCCGGAAUUACUGGGCGUAAAGAGUUCGUAGGCGGUUUGUCGCGUCGUUUGUGAAAACCCGGGGCUCAACUUCGGGCUUGCAGGCGAUACGGGCAGACUUGAGUGUUUCAGGGGAGACUGGAAUUCCUGGUGUAGCGGUGAAAUGCGCAGAUAUCAGGAGGAACACCGGUGGCGAAGGCGGGUCUCUGGGAAACAACUGACGCUGAGGAACGAAAGCGUGGGUAGCAAACAGGAUUAGAUACCCUGGUAGUCCACGCCGUAAACGGUGGGCGCUAGGUGUGGGUUCCUUCCACGGGAUCUGUGCCGUAGCUAACGCAUUAAGCGCCCCGCC